This 245-nucleotide ribosomal RNA is filed under the name uncultured bacterium. RNAcentral describes it as "partial 16S ribosomal RNA". It matches the Rfam family "Bacterial small subunit ribosomal RNA", at positions 109 to 354 of the family's 1533-position model. The record is from RNAcentral.
AGUAACGCGUGGGUAACCUGCCUCAUACAGGGGGAUAACAGUUAGAAAUGACUGCUAAUACCGCAUAAGCGCACAGGACCGCAUGGUCAAGUGUGUAAAACUCCGGUGGUAUGAGAUGGACCCGCGUCUGAUUAGCUGGUUGGUGAGGUAAUGGCCCACCAAGGCGACGAUCAGUAGCCGACCUGAGAGGGUGGCCGGCCACAUUGGGACUGAGACACGGCCCAAACUCCUACGGAAGGCAGCAG